Molecule: ribosomal RNA, 488 nt
Filed under: Corynespora cassiicola
Lineage: Eukaryota; Fungi; Ascomycota; Dothideomycetes; Pleosporales; Corynesporascaceae
Description: eukaryotic LSU rRNA
Rfam family: 5.8S ribosomal RNA (bases 118-271)
Source: RNAcentral
CUUUGUUUAUGAGCACCUCUCGUUUCCUCGGCAGGCUCGCCUGCCAACGGGGACCCACCACAAACCCAUUGUAGUACAAGAAGUACACGUCUGAACAAAACAAAACAAACUAUUUACAACUUUCAACAACGGAUCUCUUGGUUCUGGCAUCGAUGAAGAACGCAGCGAAAUGCGAUAAGUAGUGUGAAUUGCAGAAUUCAGUGAAUCAUCGAAUCUUUGAACGCACAUUGCGCCCUUUGGUAUUCCUUAGGGCAUGCCUGUUCGAGCGUCAUUUCAACCCUCAAGCCUAGCUUGGUGUUGGGCGUCUGUCCCGCCUCCGCGCGCCUGGACUCGCCUCAAAAGCAUUGGCGGCCGGUUCCCAGCAGGCCACGAGCGCAGCAGAGCAAGCGCUGAAGUGGCUGCGGGUCGGCGCACCAUGAGCCCCCCCACACCAGAAUUUUGACCUCGGAUCAGGUAGGGAUACCCGCUGAACUUAAGCAUAUCAAUAA